This 468-nucleotide ribosomal RNA is filed under the name uncultured bacterium. RNAcentral describes it as "partial 16S ribosomal RNA". It matches the Rfam family "Bacterial small subunit ribosomal RNA", at positions 28 to 507 of the family's 1533-position model. The record is from RNAcentral.
GACGAACGCUGGCGGCGUGCUUAACACAUGCAAGUCGAACGGAAAGGCCCUGCUUUUGUGGGGUGCUCGAGUGGCGAACGGGUGAGUAACACGUGAGUAACCUGCCCUUGACUUUGGGAUAACUUCAGGAAACUGGGGCUAAUACCGGAUAGGAGCUCCUGCUGCAUGGUGGGGGUUGGAAAGUUUCGGCGGUUGGGGAUGGACUCGCGGCUUAUCAGCUUGUUGGUGGGGUAGUGGCUUACCAAGGCUUUGACGGGUAGCCGGCCUGAGAGGGUGACCGGCCACAUUGGGACUGAGAGACGGACCAGACUGCAACGGGAGGCAGCAGUGGGGAAUAUUGCACAAUGGGCGGAAGCGUGAUGCAGCAACGCCGCGUGCGGGAUGACGGCCUUCGGGUUGUAAACCGCUUUCGCCUGUGACGAAGCGUGAGUGACGGUAAUGGGUAAAGAAGCACCGGCUAACUACGUG